This 46-nucleotide non-coding RNA is filed under the name Schistosoma curassoni. Lineage: Eukaryota; Metazoa; Platyhelminthes; Trematoda; Strigeidida; Schistosomatidae. The record is from RNAcentral.
GCACUGCUGAGGAGUCCCACAAUAGGACGAAACGACCCUUCAGUGC